This 23-nucleotide non-coding RNA is filed under the name Arabidopsis thaliana (thale cress). The record is from RNAcentral. Lineage: Eukaryota; Viridiplantae; Streptophyta; Magnoliopsida; Brassicales; Brassicaceae.
GGAGCGACUUAUCAACGUCUGGU